AGGAAUAUUGGUCAAUGGACGCAAGUCUGAACCAGCCAUGCCGCGUGCAGGAAGACGGCUCUAUGAGUUGUAAACUGCUUUUGUACGAGAGUAAACGCUCUUACGUGUAAGAGCCUGAAAGUAUCGUACGAAUAAGGAUCGGCUAACUCCGUGCCAGCAGCCGCGGUAAUACGGAGGAUCCAAGCGUUAUCCGGAUUUAUUGGGUUUAAAGGGUGCGUAGGCGGUUUGAUAAGUUAGAGGUGAAAUACCGGUGCUUAACACCGGAACUGCCUCUAAUACUGUUGAACUAGAGAGUAGUUGCGGUAGGCGGAAUGUAUGGUGUAGCGGUGAAAUGCUUAGAGAUCAUACAGAACACCGAUUGCGAAGGCAGCUUACCAAACUAUAUCUGACGUUGAGGCACGAAAGCGUGGGGAGCAAACAGGAUUAGAUACCCUGGUAGUCCACGCAGUAAACGAUGAUAACUCGCUGUCGGCGAUACACAGUCGGCGGCUAAGCGAAAGCGAUAAGUUAUCCACCUGGGGAGUACGUUCGCAAGAAUGAAACUCAAAGGAAUUGACGGGGGCCCGCACAAGCGGAGGAACAUGUGGUUUAAUUCGAUGAUACGCGAGGAACCUUACCCGGGCUUGAAAGUUACCGACGAUUCUGGAAACAGGAUUUCCCUUCGGGGCAGGAAACUAGGUGCUGCAUGGUUGUCGUCAGCUCGUGCCGUGAGGUGUCGGGUUAAGUCCCAUAACGAGCGCAACCCCUACCGUUAGUUGCCAUCAGGUCAAGCUGGGCACUCUGGCGGGACUGCCGGUGUAAGCCGAGAGGAAGGUGGGGAUGACGUCAAAUCAGCACGGCCCUUACGUCCGGGGCUACACACGUGUUACAAUGGUAGGUACAGAGGGCAGCUACCCAGUGAUGGGAUGCGAAUCUCGAAAGCCUAUCUCAGUUCGGAUCGGAGGCUGAAACCCGCCUCCGUGAAGUUGGAUUCGCUAGUAAUCGCGCAUCAGCCAUGGCGCGGUGAAUACGUUCCCG
Molecule: ribosomal RNA, 1017 nt
Filed under: uncultured bacterium
Lineage: Bacteria
Description: bacterial SSU rRNA
Rfam family: Bacterial small subunit ribosomal RNA
Source: RNAcentral